GAAGGACCAUCGGGGGAAGAGGACAGAUUGCUGUUCUCACAUCCCAGCGCCCACCACUGUGAUCCGGUCCUGAGGGCCCCCGCUGGAUUUAAGCAGGGCUGUCUUCAGAGGCGUGGGAUGUCACCAUCCGGGGCCACGCCUGAUUUGGGCACAAGCUCUAGAUCCCAGCAACUGGCGCUUGCUGUUUACACCAUUUCCCGGGGAGCAGGGUCACAGUAGGCCCUGGCUCAAGGGGUCUAAUUUUAAACACUGGGUUAAAAAAAAGGUCAGAUCCUGGCUACCUCCAAGAUGCAUGCACUUUAGAAAGAUGACCCUGAGUGCAGAGGCCAGGAAAGAGAAAAUGAUCUCUCUCUAUUCCUCCCUCUCUCCCUCCUUCCACAAACUCCAGCAAGUGCCUAUCUGCCAGGAGUGCCCAGCAGGGAGGAAGCAGUGACCUGGGGCAGUUCCCAUUUCACCCUAAGUCAGGCAUCUCAAAGCUGCCUGACCUCAAGAAUCCCAUCUGGGGGCAUCAGUUCAAAAUAGAUCACUAGCCCCCAGCCACGUGAUUCUUAGGGAUCUAUUUGGAUUUCUUAUUUCACAUGUGGUUUUCAUAUGUUUGGAGUUUUUUGUUUGUAUAUUUGUUUUAUCAUUUGUUUAGAUCAGAAUCCCAAAUGAGAUCUACACCUAGCAGUUGGUUGAUAUGGGUCCAAAUCUCCUGUACUCUGUUGAUUUCCUCUCCAUUUAUUCAUUUAUUUAUUUACUUAGUUAUUGUUUCUGUUUCCCUCUCUCUCUCCCUCUCUUCUUGCAAUUUAUCUGUAGAAGAAAGUCUAUAUCUAUAGAAGAAGUCUAUAUCUAUAGAGUCUCUCACAUCUGAAGUUGGCUGACUGCAUUCCCCAAGGUGCCACUUAACAUGUUCCUCUGUCCCCUGUAGCUCCUGUAAAUUGUUCAAAUCCAGGGACCUGAUCAGAUUCCGGUUUGAGUUUAGGGCAAGACUACUUCCUGGGUGCCGCAUGUCCUUCCAUCAGGAGGCUCACACUCUCUUUUUGUGAUGUGAGCAGCUGUAGCUGCCCAAUUCAUCCAUUAGGGGUUACCCAGUGAUGACUCUCUAAUUCUAUCAUUUUUUCCUACAUUUUAAAGCAGGUAUAAGUCUAUAAAUAGAAACUUACCCUCAUCAACCAUUUGGUUACCCUAAGGUACCAUCUAUAUAGGAAAGGUAGAAUUAAUUAUGAUUCUUUCUCUUUCUUUAGGAGCUCAAAUCCUUUUUGGUACAACAAAUGUGUGCUGGCAGUAGGAGAAGGCACAUCCUCUGAGCCUCUGUUGCCCCACCUGUAAAAUGGGGAUGCUGGUGAACUCACAGACUUAUUCUGCAGAGCAAUGCUUGUAUCAUCAUGCCACUGUGUGUUUCAGCAUCUGGCAUCAGAACCUGGGGAGAAGUCCACCACAAGAUGCAGGAAAAGUUUGCCAACCCCUGAUAUGAGAUCAUGGAUGAAAAGCACUUUAGAACAAUUCCUGGCACAGGGUACGUGUUUAGUGAAUUUUGUUCUUAUUAGUAUAUGGAUGUUUAUAAAAUCUUCUUUCCCUAGGAUGUGUUCAAAAGCAGUAAUUGCUUUUAUAUUUCAUUGAGCCUAAGGCACAUUUUUUCAUAUUUUAACGUUCCUCAAAGUGGAAUAUAUCUUACAGUCGGAGGCAUAGCAUACUUAAUUGACAGUUAAUUGCCAACAUUUCUCUUUCUUUAUGGUAUAUACAUUAAACGGGGGUGGGGGGUUGGGUCUCAGAAUAGCUGACCUCUUAGAUCCAGGAGAAUACAGUAAAGUAAUUAAAGCACUACAACAAGCAGUCUAGCAGGGGGACAGACUUGUCAAAAGACAAGUACAACCAGGUGCUAAGCGCCAGGGUAGACAUCGGAAAGGCCGGAAAAGGGCCCUCUCCCAACUGGGAGAGAAUUAUGAGGAAAAGAUGCCCAGAGGAGGGGAUGUCUCCUUAGAGACAAAGACUGUUGUAGAAUAGAAAUGUCGGGAUGAAACACCUCUGAGAGAUGGGUCUCGGUUAUCUACCACUUGGCCCCUGAGAGUCUCCGUUUUCUGCCUUAUAAAAUGGGGGCAGUAAUAACCCCAAGAGACCAACUCUCAGAUUCGCUGUGGGACCAGAUGAAGCUCCAGCAGCCUGUGUGAACAGGCCCCAUGGCUGACCAUUUCUGUUUGUCCCACUAGCUUGGGAGCAGGGAAACGGUUCCUUGCCUUUCUUGGCCCCCAGAACAAACCUCAAAGCAGGUUUGUUGGAUAAACACGUGCAGAUGAACCCAGGAGCCCAAGAGAGGGACCAGGAAGUAACAGGGCCUCUGUGACUCAGACAGGCCUGUCCCUGAACCAAGGGCACCGCCUGCCAGCAUGGCCCCAAACCCCGCCCCAGGCACCAGGGGAACUGACGCCACGGUGAGAAGUGACAAAUCUCUGUUGUUAGUUAAUUUUUUUGAGACGGAAUAUGAAUUGAGGCAUAAUUUCCUUUUCACUAUUAGAAAACACUAAUUAAUGUUGAAGGGAGCAAAUGAGGUCAUAGUUUGUCUAUUCCAAACUGUCCCCUGAAGGAAGGAGAAGAAAGUUACCAGUGGUGGAUUCAGAAUCCUAGUUGAAGACUCAGAAAUUGUGCCUACCAAUUUUGCCUUUGUGGGUAAGUUAUUUGGGGGCAGUUUUUAUUAAUAAUUGCCAAUCUCUACUGAGCACUUGCUGUAAGCCCUAGCCCUUUGCCAAGUGCAUUACAUACAUUUCCUCCUAGACUGUGACACUAGCCCUAUGAGGCAGGUACCAUCAACCACCCACAAAGGAAGAGAUGAGGGAACCGAGGUCCAGAGAAGUUAACUAACUUGUCCAAAGGCACAUACAAGUAAGCGGAGCAGCUGGGGGCCUGGCGCUUCCUCUCUGUUUUCUAAGUCCUUCGUCCUUAUCUCUCCACAGCACACAGAGGGCGUAUCAUGAGGGUGGCGCGUUGCGGCAUUUCACUGUCUGUUUCAUGGGCUGAUGACUUUUAGGGGGCUGCUUCUAGAUGCCAAAGGAAGGGGACAAGGAAAUAGGCCUCAGACUCGGGCUUUCUGCCUGGCCCUCCCUGACUCACUGAGCCAUACUGCACAAAUGAUUCAUUCACUGACCUCGACCUCAGUGGGUUUGGCCACCCACUGAGAGUGAAGUCACACCUCCAGCUUUCCAACGCAUUCAUUGGUUCACUCAUCCGCUUCAGGCAGGCAAGAAACAGGCCUGGCUGGCCUUGCUUGGGGUCAGGAAAACACACAAAUGCUUCUCGAUGUCCUGAAGUCAUGGAUGGACCGCUCAAUUCCAGCCUAAGAGAUCCUCCGAGGGGCCUGAAGUGGAUUACUAGGGUUGUCGAAACAAAGUACCACAAGCUGAGCGACUUAACAUAACAGAAAUUGCUUGUCUCAUAGUUCUGGAAGCCAGAAGUGCAAGACCAAGGUAUUGACAAGGUUAGUUCCUUCUGAGGGCUGUGAGGGAGUAUGUGUCCCAGGCCUCUCUCUUAGCUUCUGGUGGCUGGCUGGAGAUCUUUGAUGUUCCUUGACUUGUAGAGGCAUCACCCCAAUCUCUGCCUUCAUCUUCAUCAGUCACAUCAGAUUAGGUCCCACCCUAAUGAUCUCAUGUUAACUUGAUUACCUCUGUAAAGGCCCUGUUUCCAAAUAAGUUCACAUUCUGAGGUACUCGGGGUUAGGACUUAAGCAUACCUCUCGGGGGAAACAUAAUUCAACCCAAAACAGGGCCCCAAAGAUAGCCCCCUAAUAAUAACAUGUUCAAUACCAUAAAGAUGUCCAUUUGACCCAGGUAAAUAUAUCCAUUUAAAAUGAUCCUAAUGAAAAUACUGAGAGUAGAUUGGGGUUUUUUUUGUUUGUUUUUUGUUUUUAUUUUUCCUGGAGUUAAACAAAUUGAUUCUGAAGUUGAUAUGAAAUAAUUAUCAAGAAUGACCAGGAAAACGUAAAAAGAAAGGCAGUGGGAUGGGGAUAAGUCCUACCAGAUAUUAAAACAUAUCAUAAAGCCCCAGCAUUAAAAUAGUGUAGUUAGGAACAUGACUAGCCAGACAGAACAAUGGAACAGAAUAGGAAGUCCAGAAAGUUGCCCAAGUACGUAUGGAAAUUUGAUGUAUGAUGAAAGUGGCAUCUCAAAUCACUGGACAUGAUGGACUUUAUAAUAAGUGAUCUUGGGACAGUUGGACAGCCAUUUGGAAAAACGAUAAAAGGGGACCCAUACCUCACACCAAACACUUGAAUAAAUACCCAGUGAGCCAGAGAUUCAGAUUUUUUUAAGUGAAACCUUAAAACUUGUAGAAGAAAACGUGAGGGGAUUCCUUUAUAACUCAGGAAUGAGAAAAGCCUUUCAAUGUAGGACUCAAAACCCAGAAACAAUAAAAGAAAAACUUGAUAAAUUCAGCUACAUAAAAAUUAAAGCUACAUUUAAAAAAAAGCUUUUUAUGGCAAAAAAAAAAAACCUGCACAAGCAGAAAUUUUAAAAAAAAAGACAAAUGGGAGACAAUAUUUGCAACAAAGAGACAAAGGCUAAUUUCACCAAUAUUUAAGGAGUAUUUAAAAACAGAUAUGAAAAAAAUUAAAAUAUGAUUUUAAAAUGGACAAAAGUGGGAAUUCCCUGGCGGUGCAGUGGUUAGCACUCCAUGCUUCCACCGCAGGGGGCAUGGGUUCGAUUCCUGGUUGGGGAACUAAGAUCCUGCAUUCUGUGUGGUGCGGCCAAAAAUAAAAUAAAAUAAAAUGGACACAAGCCAUGAGCAGAUAGUUCCAGAAAAAGAGAUGCAGAAGGACCCUGAGCAUGUGAGAAGAUGCUCAUUUGUAAUCAUAAUAAGAGACAAGAAAAUUCUAAUUACACUGAGAGACCCUCAUCCUUCAGGUUGGCAAAAAUCCAAA
Long non-coding RNA from Orcinus orca (killer whale), 4888 nucleotides. RefSeq lists it as uncharacterized. The record is from RefSeq and is a predicted model, not a curated record. NCBI's taxonomy places the organism in Eukaryota, Metazoa, Chordata, Mammalia, Artiodactyla, Delphinidae. The transcript has 3 exons.